GCACUGUUGACGAGUCCUAAACAGGACGAAACAGCUGUUCAAUGC
RNAcentral lists this non-coding RNA (45 nucleotides) under Echinostoma caproni. The record is from RNAcentral. Lineage: Eukaryota; Metazoa; Platyhelminthes; Trematoda; Plagiorchiida; Echinostomatidae.